Molecule: small RNA, 572 nt
Filed under: Pan troglodytes (chimpanzee)
Lineage: Eukaryota; Metazoa; Chordata; Mammalia; Primates; Hominidae
Description: processed transcript
Source: RNAcentral
GACUCCAAGCCUGGUGAGAAAUCGAGAGGGCUCGGGAGAAAGGGAUCACGUUGGAGGGAGCACACAUUGGGACGGUGGGAGCACACAUUGGGAGGGUGGGAACACAAGGACAACGUAGCUCCCACUGAAACCCACCUGCUGCCCCUACAGCCUCCUAGGGCUCUUUGCCCUCAUCCUCUCUGGCAAAUGCAGCUACAGCCCGGAGCCCGACCAGCGGAGGACGCUGCCCCCAGGCUGGGUGUCCCUGGGCCGUGCGGACCCUGAGGAAGAGCUGAGUCUCACCUUUGCCCUGAGACAGCAGAAUGUGGAAAGACUCUCGGAGCUGGUGCAGGCUGUGUCGGAUCCCAGCUCUCCUCAAUACGGAAAAUACCUGACCCUAGAGAAUGUGGCUGAUCUGGUGAGGCCAUCCCCACUGACCCUCCGCACGGUGCAAAAAUGGCUCUUGGCAGCCGGAGCCCGGAAGUGCCAUUCUGUGAUCACACAGGACUUUCUGACUUGCUGGCUGAGCAUCCGACAAGCAGAGCUGCUGCUCCCUGGGGCUGAGUUUCAUCACUAUGUGGGAGGACCUACGG